ACGGUCCAGACUCCUACGGGAGGCAGCAGUGGGGAAUAUUGCGCAAUGGGGGAAACCCUGACGCAGCAACGCCGCGUGAGUGAUGAAGGUUUUCGGAUCGUAAAACUCUGUCUUUAGGGACGAUAAUGACGGUACCUAAGGAGGAAGCCACGGCUAACUACGUGCCAGCAGCCGCGGUAAUACGUAGGUGGCAAGCGUUGUCCGGAUUUACUGGGCGUAAAGAGUAUGUAGGUGGGUGCUUAAGUCAGAUGUGAAAUUCCCGGGCUCAACCUGGGAGCUGCAUUUGAAACUGGGCAUCUAGAGUGCAGGAGAGGAAAGUGGAAUUCCUAGUGUAGCGGUGAAAUGCGUAGAGAUUAGGAAGAACACCAGUGGCGAAGGCGACUUUCUGGACUGUAACUGACACUGAGAUACGAAAGCGUGGGUAGCAAACAGGAUUAGAUACCCUGGUAGUCCACGCCGUAAACGAUGAAUACUAGGUGUCGGGGGGUACCACCCUCGGUGCCGCAGCAAACGCAUUAAGUAUUCCGCCUGGGGAGUACGGUCGCAAGAUUAAAACUCAAAGGAAUUGACGGGGACCCGCACAAGCAGCGGAGCAUGUGGUUUAAUUCGAAGCAACGCGAAGAACCUUACCUAGACUUGACAUCUCCUGAAUUACUCUUAAUCGAGGAAGUCCCUUCGGGGACAGGAAGACAGGUGGUGCAUGGUUGUCGUCAGCUCGUGUCGUGAGAUGUUGGGUUAAGUCCCGCAACGAGCGCAACCCUUAUUGUUAGUUGCUACUAUUAAGUUAAGCACUCUAACGAGACUGCCGCGGUUAACGUGGAGGAAGGUGGGGAUGACGUCAAAUCAUCAUGCCCCUUAUGUCUAGGGCUACACACGUGCUACAAUGGCUGGUACAACGAGCAGCAAACCCGCGAGGGGGAGCAAAACUUGAAAGCCAGUCCCAGUUCGGAUUGUAGGCUGAAACUCGCCUACAUGAAGUUGGAGUUGCUAGUAAUCGCGAAUCAGCAUGUCGCGGUGAAUACGUUCCCGGGUCUUGUACACACCGCCCGUCACACCAUGAGAGCCGGUAACACCCGAAGCCCGUGAGGUAACCGUAAGGAGCCAGCGGUCGAAGGUGGGAUUGGUGAUUGGGGUGAAGUCGUAACAAGGUAGCCGUAGGAGAACCUGCGGCUGGAUCACCUCCUUUCUA
Molecule: ribosomal RNA, 1189 nt
Filed under: Clostridium botulinum D/C
Lineage: Bacteria; Bacillati; Bacillota; Clostridia; Eubacteriales; Clostridiaceae
Description: bacterial SSU rRNA
Rfam family: Bacterial small subunit ribosomal RNA
Source: RNAcentral